This 42145-nucleotide long non-coding RNA is filed under the name Homo sapiens (human). Its description in RNAcentral is "non-protein coding lnc-ACTR2-3:28". The record is from RNAcentral. Lineage: Eukaryota; Metazoa; Chordata; Mammalia; Primates; Hominidae.
GCGCUCGGUUGUGCCGUUAUCGUGCAAUGCUUCAUCCCCGGUGCCGUUCAAUCCCAGGUCGUUUUCCCUUUCAGCUGCAAUGCCGGGAUUUUAAAUAGCAGAGAUGAAAGGCCCCUGCCCCCGCCUCCCUCCUCCCCUGAGUUCAUGUAUUAUGAAUGAAACGGCAGCCUCGCUGCUUCCUGAGGUGCUCCACUUCAGGUUGGAGUGCAGUGGUGCUGUGUCUGGAGUUUGUUCCUGCCGUUGGGUUUGUGGUCUUGCUGACUUCAAGAAUGAAGCCACGGACCUUCACGUCCAUCGCCUUGGCUUAGUGCAUGUCACCAAAAAUUCUCCAGGAAUUUCAUAGUUUGGACCUUGGUGGCAUGGCUGGCCCUGGAUUAUCCAUGCAGGGAGGCCUGAUCCUGUGACAGCUGGCUGCAGCAGGGGGCUGCCCAUCUUCUGUGCUUUGUGGUACAUAUCUGUGUCACCAAAGUAGCGGCCUCGGUACAGCAAGCCUUUCAUCUGCUGCUUCUCCGUCCAGCAGUUGUUCCAGAGGUUGGCGAUAUAAUCAUCUUUCACAUUCGGUUUGACUGUUUGGAGGCUGGAGCCUGUGUACUCCUCGGAGAAAAUGCCUGCCACAUAGUAGAUGACACUCAGGUGGUCAGUGACUCGCCUGUGAUGUGGCCCACAAACAGUCUUGGGCUCAGACUGUAGGGUGGACUGGAGACCAUGAGCUGGCUGAGAGCUGACAUGAGGAUGAGGAUGGGUAUCAGCUGCACGAACACCCGCAAGCUGCCGUCACUCCGCUUCUCCCUGCAGCCCUGCCUUUGCUGGUAGGUAUAGCGCAUGCAGCCAUUGCUGUAGACGUAGACUUUACUAGAAGGGAAGCCAUUGCCAAAGAACAUGUUGAAGAGGUCUUCAGGGGAGAUGUCAGCCUCAAAGCCGUGGUGGAAAUCCCCAUGACGAUGCUGGACCUGACUGCCUGACUCCUGUUAUCGCCCAAGUGGUCAUACUGCUUCCUCUUUUCUUUCUUUCUUUCUUUCUUUCUUUUUUUUUUUUUUUUCCUGAGACAGAGUCUUGCUCUGUCGCCUAGGCUGAAGUGCAGUGGCUUGGUCUUAGUACACUGCAACCUCUGCUUCCCUGGUUCAAGCAAUUCCCCUGCCUCGGCCUCCCGAGUAGCUGGGUUUACAGACAUGCACCGCCACUGCCGGCUAAUUUUUGUAUUUUUAGUACAGACAGAGUUUUACCAUGUUGGCUAGGCUGGUCUCAAACCAGCUGGUCUUGAACUCUUGACCUCAUGAUCCGCCCACCUUGGCCUCCUAAAGUGCUGGGAUUAUAGGCAUAAGCCACCGUGCCGGGCCACACUGCUUCCUCUUCUCCGGGUUGCUGAGUACUGCAUAUGCUGUGCCAAUGGCUUUGAAAGCUCCAGUGGUGCCAGGUGCAUGGUUCUUGUCUGGGUGGAAUUUGAGGGCCAGUUUGUGGUAGGCCUUCUUCAGGUCCUCAUCUGAGGCCCCUCUCCUCACCUCCAGGAUCUCAUAAUAAUCCUUACAUUGCUUGACCCUUUUCACAGCUGCAACUCCUUCUGCAGUGUAGCCUUUGGUGCUCUCUCCUCCUCCAGCUUCACCGUUGGCCUAGGGAGCAUCGGUCCCACCUGCUUUCCUGUGGGUGGCAUGGGUUGUGUCUGUGGGUUGGGGUUGGUCACCAGCAGUUUGUGGUUCCUAGUUGAGAGACUCCAUCAGGCCACACACUCGCGGCAUUGGGUACAGCCACUGUGCCUUCUCCAGGAUGAGGAGCGCCUGGUUGGGCUGGUUGCACUGGAUGGCUUGAGGGUGAUGCUGAUACAGAGCUCGGCUUCAUCCUUAUUGGAUUACAUGGCAGAACCAGAGCAUGGAACCUGCUGUUGACUUUUAAGAAGUGUUUUUGUUGUUGUUGUUCUAAUAACAGAGUAUAGUAGAUGAAGUAAGUAGAUGAAGGUGAAAAGUUCUGCUUCUCCCUUUCCUUUUUGCCUUGGGAUGGAGUUGUUGGAAAUGUGAUGCUUGGAGUUACGGCAACCAUCUUGUGACCCAGGGGAAAAGGCCAGGAGAGGCCGGGCACGGUGGCUCACACCUGGAAUCCCAGGACUUUGGGAGGCUGAGGCCGAGGUGGGCAGAUCACGAGGUCAGGAGUUCAAGACUAGCCUGACAAAUAUGGUGAAACUCUGUCUCUACUAAAAAUGAAAAAAUUAGCUGGGUGUGGCAGCAUGCACCUGUAGUCCCAGCUACUCGGGAGGCUGAGGCAGAAGAAUCCCUUGAACCCGGGAGGCAGAGGUUGUGGUGAGCCGAGAUCGCGCCACUACACUCCAGCCUGGGCGACAGAGCAAGACUCCAUCUCAAAAAAAAAGGCGAGCAGAAAUGGAGAAAUGUAGAGACAUUAGCCUAGCAUCUUAAUUUUUUAUUGUUGUUGUUGUUUUUUUGAGAUGGAGUUUUGCUCUUGUUGCCCAGGCUGGAGUGCAAUGGCAUGAUCUCAGCUCACCACAACCUCUGCCUCCCCAGUUCAAGCAAUUCUCCUGCCUCAGCCUCCCGAGUAGCUGGGAUUACAGGGAUGCGCCGCCAUGCCUGGCUAAUUUUGUAUUUUUUUUUAGUAGAGGUGGGGUUUCUGCAUGUUGGCCUGAAGUGAUAUAUUUUCUCAGUAUAAUUUAUUCAUGCAUUACUUGUGUAAUUACACAUUUUUCAAAGGAGGGCAAAACGCCUUAGGCAUUUGUACUUCAUCUUCAGAGUUGACCUGAUCCUCCUUCUGCUGACUCUGACUCUCUCUACCCUUCAGGACUCUUGUUUGCCUCUGCUGCUGGUCUCUCGGCUGCCAGCUGAACUGCUUUGAUUGACAACUUAGGUGUUCAAGACUUUUGGAAUGCACACUUUAGCCUUCCUGGGGCUGCUCCAUCCUUUUUACUCCCUCAGGCUGGGGAACCCACUGUUUGGGGCUGCCCUUUCCACAGCACUUUCUUCAGGGAGGGACUUGCCGUUUGGUAACUGACACCCCUCACCCCCACCACUUCUCUUCUGAGGAGAUGGAAGAGCUGCAGCAUAGAAGAAGCUGGGGAACAGGCCCAAAACCAAGGGCCCCAGAGUCUAGGUGGGAUUCCUUUGGCUCUGGCCCUAGGCCUGGCAUCUGAGUAUUAUAGAGAAACUCAUUUUAUGUUUAUCCAGGGGUUCUUGCAUUGCCUGUGAUUUCUGAGGAUGCUUUUAAAUCACUAGUAUUCACUGCCUCUACUAGAACUUCUGUACACUGGAUUUUAUUCCCCCCAGCUAUAAGGGCUUGUGAAAAUAUCUUAAAGAGUAGAGUAAGUAGCUCGGGCAGGCUUGCAUUUGCAAAAGCCCACCCUCACUGAUGGAAGACUGGUGGGAGGCCCUUGUGAUAGGUUGAGGGAAAGAAGCUGAGGUUUUAGUUGGGGCCCAGGAUUGGGGUGGAGGGGAGGAGAUGGGUGUGAGUUUUCCCCUUCCCUUCUCUGUGGGCGAUGCUCCACAUACGGUGGCAAGGAAAGUUUUCUGCAUUCUUCAAAGCAUGAGCAGAGAUCUUUUGCAUGCUGUUUCCACGGGUGUUUCAGGGAGCUCUCUGUAAUAAGGGUUCCCUUUGUGGCAGUUGGCAGUCGGUUCCAAGCUCAUCAUUUUGUUGCAGCAGGACUUGGCAGGGGCAUGGGAGAACAAGACUUCUGCUGUUCCUUUGCCACUCUGAGCUCUGCACCCGUACCUAUGAGGGCUACCUCUUUCCUCCAUCCUGUUCCACCUGUCCUCUUCCUGCCAUUCUUUUGUCCAAACCUGUGGGAGGCUGCAUUCAAGUUCACAGAAAAGGGGUACCUGUAGUCAAAAAGGGUAGGAGGAUGGGAGGAGAGGAUUAAGGAAAAGCCAACUUUUGCCUCAGAUGCCCGGCUGCUUUAUUAUGCAUGCUUUCCUCUUUCUCACUGUUUUUUGGAAAGGCUGAAAAUAAACACUUUUGUAAUACUGACUUGUAGUUCACACUUUCCUGACAAGUUACUCAAACUGCAGCCACAGCCGCUUAAAGAGAAGUUUGACGCAAGCCUUAUUCAGCAGACGCUUUCUAAUUCAGAAUGUUCCGAGGCAGUUGAUCUUGCUACUUCUAAACUAGUGAAGGGGCCGAGGAGGGGGCACAUUGCUUAACCUGGGAGCCCUGGGCCAGUACCCACCACCAGCAAGUCCACCAGCAUCUCCACCACAAAGUCAAGCUUUUGAGACUGCUGGGUCCUCAGGGCUGUUACCCAGCUCACUUAUUCAAGAAAUGUCACAGAGUCAUUAAAAAUCUCACCUGGAAGAAACUAUGAACAUCUCUUAAUUCAAGAUCCCUUUUUCUGUAGGCCAGAGAAGUGACUUCCCUGCUUAAAAUGAACAGAACUAUUAGGAGCUAGGGAUACAGCCCCAAACUCUGGAAGCUUCCCAUUGAGCCAUGCUUUGUUAAUUUCAUGGAUUUGAUUUAUUACGUUUCAGUUUUUAUUACAAAAACUUUCAAACAUACACAAAAAGUUGAGAGAAGAGUAUAAUGAACAUCUGUGUACCCAUCACUCAAUGUCAAUACUGGUCGCCGAUUCGAUGUUAUCUUAUCUAGUCCCCAUUUUCCCUCACUGCAACCAGAUAGACGUCGUAACACUUUAUCCACAAGUACAGCAAUAUGUGUCUCUAACAGAAAGCUUUAAAAAAUAGUGUAACCAUAGUUACCAUUAUCACAUCCACAAAAUUAGCAUUAUUUCUUAGUGUCAUAAUACCUUCGAACACAGUUUUCUCCGGUUGUGUCAAAAAUGUCUUUUUGCAGUUUGUUUAAAUGAGGAUCCAAACAAGGUCCACACAUUGCAUUUGUUGACAUAUUUUAAGGGGUUUAUACUGUCAUGGUCCCUCCCCUAUACCUUCCCCAUGCCAUUUGUUUGUUGAUAUAGUUGGGUCAUCUGUCCUUCAGAACUUCCCACGUUCUGAAUGUGGCUGGUUGUAUUCUGCUGGUGUCCUUCAACCUAUUUUUCCAUCCUGUUUCCUGUACAUUGGUACUGAAGAUGUAGACAACAGUGAUUCUCAGCUGGGGGAGACUUUGCUUCCCUCACCUCCCAGGGGACGUUUGGCAAUGUCUGGAGACUUUUGGUUGUCACACCUGGGGGUGGGGGUGCUUCAGGCAUCUGGUGGGUAGAGGCCGGGGAUGCCGCUAAACAUCCUGCAGUGCACAGGACAGCUGCCCACAGGAAAGAACCACGUGUCCCCCAAUGUCAGUAGAGCUGAGGUUGAGAAACCCUGACUGGGAGACUUGAAAUUCAAGUUUUGCUUUUGGCAAGGAUAUUUCAUAGGUGGAGCCGUGUACUUCCUGCUGCAUCAUAUCAGAACACUGUGUCUGAUGUUAAGGUGAUGUUUCGGUUGGUCAGUGGAUUCAGGAGGGGUCAACCUCACACAUCAUAAAAUUAGCCAAAUGGGCAUGUUUUGAGAGUAAAAGGGAGUGCUAUUAAUAGAUGAAAACUGGGAAUGUUUCUGGCAAACAGAGACAUGUGAUUAUCCAUUGAUUUUUCAAGAGCUUUAUUCAUCUCUAAUGAAUUUUCUUUCACUUUUUUACCAGUUUUAAUCAAAGUUACAUGGGCACAUAAUUUUUUUAUUUUUAAAUUCAUAUAUUUUUAAGAGACAAGGUCUCACUCUGUUACCCAGGUUGGAGUGCAGUGCUUGAUCAUAGCUCACUGUAUCAUCAAACUCCUUACUUCAAGUGAUCCUCCCACCUCAGCUUCCCAAAUAGCUAGGACUAUAGAUGUGUGCCACAUGUCUGGAUAAUUUUUUUUUCUUUUGUAGAAACAGCGUCUUGCUAUGUUACCCAGGCUGGUCUGGAAUUCCUGGCCUCAAGUGAUCCUCCUACCUUGGCCUCCCAAAGUGCUAGGAUUACAAGCAUGAGCCACCGUGCUUGGCCCAUGGGCACAUAAUUUAAAGAGGCACAUAAUUCUCCUAAACUUGUUGCUGCGGUAAUUUCCUCAUUCCUCCCUAUUUUCCUUUCCUAAGAGGCAACCACUUUCAAUUCUUUCAGUUGGUUCUUGUAAUAUUUAUCCUCACACAUCCUAAUAUGCUUAAAUUGCUACUUCAUGGUUUUUCUGUUUUUGGCAUUUUAAAAGGACUUCUUUCUAAAGAAUAUAAUUUAUCUUUCUGACAAUGCUCUCUAGCCCCCAGUACAAGCCUUUCUUGACCUUUCAUUUUCUCAGAACAGUGAAAUUCUAAUUUUAGCUGUCUGCUUAUAUUUAAGAGUGGGGUAUUAAAAAGCCAAAUAGCAGCUCUGAUCUUGUGAGUGGAGCCUGUUGACUGCUAUCUUCCCCAUUGGGUUAUCUGGCUAUGCUACCCUCCAAUGUCAGGAUGUUUGAUCAUUUCUUCUUGGGCCAGUAAGUCUUCCAGUCUUCUGCCCAAGGAGAUAGACCGGGCUGCCAGGGUCCUGGGACCCAGGUGGGGCCAAAGAGCAGUGAGUCUCAGCAUUCCUUCUGUGGACUUUCCUUUUUUUGUUGUAAUUCCUUGCCAUCAGUGGUGCCCGCUGUCCUUCAGUCAGUCCUUAGAAGCUCCAUUAACUUCCUCCAGAGAAUAAACCUUAAGUCUAGUGGCAGGAUUGUGGGAGGUCAGUUGCCCAGUUGCACAGAAUUGGGGAAGGAAGCUAAGGAUCAAAUUGUUAUUUUUUUUAAAAAAACAGCUUUAUUGAGAUAUAAUUGACAUAAAAUAAAUAUCACUUAUUUAAAAUGUACAAUUUGAUAAGUUUUGACAUGUGUAUACACCCAUGAAAUUAUCAACAGUCAAGAUAAUGAGCACCUGGGCAUGGUGGCUCACGCCUGUAAUCCCAGCAUUUUGGGAGUCCAAGGCAGGAGGAUGACUUGAACCUAGGAGUUUGAGACCAGCCUGGGCAACAAAGUGAGACUCCCAUCUCUACAAAAAAUUUGAAAAUUAGCCGGGCGUGGUGGUGCAUGCCUGUAGUCUCAGCUACUCAGAUGACUGAGUGGGAGGAUCGCUUGAGCCCGGGAGGUCGAGGCUGCGGUCAGUGAGCUAUGAUCACACCACAGCCCUCCAGCCUGAGUGACAGAGUGAGACCCUGUCCCCCUCCCCCCCAAAAAAGUAAAAAUAAGAUAAUGAGCAUAUUAGUUGCCCCUUAAGUUUCCGUUGCCCACUCAGGCAACUGCUGAUCUGCUUUCUGCCACUAGAUUGGUUUGUAUUUUCUAAGAUUUUAUGUAAAAGUAAUCAUAUAGUACUUGCUCUUUUUAGGGGGGAAGGAUUCUGCUUUUUUUUCACUCAGCAUCAUUACUCUGAGAUUCAUUCAGGUCGUUGAGUAUAUCAAUAGAUUAUUCCUUUUUAUUGUUAAGUAGUAUCUCAUUGGAUUAAUACACCAAAAUUUGUUUAUUCAUUUACUUGUUGAUGGACAUAUGGAUUGUUUCCAGUUUUUAGUUAUUACAAAUAAUACUGCUAUGAACAUUCAUGUGCAGGUCUUUGUGUGGACAUGGUUUUUCAUUUUUCUUGGGUUAACACCUAGGAAUGGAAUGGCUGAGCCAUAUGGCAGGUGCAUGUUUCACUUUUUUUUUUUUAGUUGAACUUUGAACAACAUGUUUAACCUUUAGUGAAACUGCCACACUGUUUUCCAAAGUGGUUGUACCAUUUCAUAUUUCCACCAGCAGUGAACCAGAAAGUUCUAGGUGGCUCAACAUCCUUGCCAACAAGUGAUUUGGUCAACCAUUUAAAUUUUAGAUAUUCUAGUGAGUAUGUAGUGGUAUCUCACGGUUUUAAUUUGCAUUUCCUAAUGACUAAUGAUGUUGAGCAUCUUUGCGUGUGCUUAUUUGCCAUCUGUAUAUCCUCUUUGGUAAAUUGUUCAAAUCUCUUGCCCAUUUAUAAAAUUUGGUUGUUUUGUUUUCUUAUUGAGUUUUGAGAUUUCUUUACAUAUUUUGGAUACAAAUCUGUUAUCAAAUGUGUAACUUGCAUAUAUUUGCUCCUAGUCUGCAGCUUGCCUUUUCAUUCUCCUAACAAUAUCUUUCAAAGAGCAAAUGUUCUCAGUUUUAUUUCUUUUUUCUCCAUAAGAGAUUUUAGAAUCUUCCAUAAGUGUUCUUAAUUUUGAUGAAGUCCAAUGUAUUGAUUUUCUUUUAUUGAUUUUGCUUUUGGUGCUGUUUCUAAGAAAUAUUUGCUUAACCCAAGGUCACAAAGAGUUUCUCUUGUUUUUUUUUUUUUUUUUUCCCUAGAUGUUAAUAGUUUUAGGUUUAGGUCUGUGAUCCAUUUUGAGUAAAUUAUUUUUAAUUAAUUUUUUUUUAAGAGACAGAGUCUUGGCCAGGCAUGGUGGCUGACGCCUGUAAUCCUGCCAGUUUGGGAGGCCAAGGUGGGUGGAUUGCCUGAGCUCAGGAGUUUGUGACCAGCCUGGGCAACAUGGUGAAACCCAGUCUCUACUAAAAUAUAAAAAAAUUAGCCGAGCGUGGCAGCAUGUGCCUGUAGUCCCAGCUACUCAGGAGGCUGAGGCAGGAGAAUUGCUUGAACCUGGGAGGCGGAGGUUGCAGUGAGCUGAGAUCACACCACGGCACUCCAGCCUGGGCGAUAGAGCGAGACUCACCCCGCCAAAAAACAACAACAACAACAACAACAACAACAAAACACAACGAGACAGAAUCUCACUCUGAUGUCCAGGCUGGAAUUCAGUGGUAUGAUCACAGCUCACUGCAGCCUUGAAGCCAGGGCUGAAGUGAUCCUUCCAUCUCAGCCUUUGGAGUAGCUGGGACUACAGGGGAGUGCCAUGUUCCUGAACCAUUUUCAGUUAAUUUUUUCUGUAUAGCGUGAGAUGGGUCAAAGUUCUGGGUUUUUUUUUCCUUUUUGUAUAUGGAUAUCCAAUUAUUUCAACACUAUUUGUCAAAAAAGACCAUUUUCCCCAUCAAAUUGCCUUUGCACUUACGCAAGUUACUAUUUCUUAGUCUCCUAUUUUUCUAUUUGUCUAUUUUGAAUUCAAUACCACACCAUCUUGAUUAUUGUAGCUUAUAUUAAGUCUUAAAGUUACAUAGGGUAAAUUCUCCAUAUUUAUUCUUCUUUUUCAAAGUUGAAUUGGUUAUUCCAAGUCUUUUGCAUUUCUAAAUGAAUUAUGUUUUUAUUUUUUAUUUUUGAGACAGAGUCUCGUUCUGUCAUGCCGGCUGGAGUGCAAUGGCACGGUCUCAGCUCACUGCAUCCUCUACCUCCCGGGUUCAAGCCAUUCUCCUGCCUCAGCCUCCCAAGUAGCUGGGACUACAGGCAUGCGCCACCACGCCCAGCUAAUUUUUGUAUUUUUGGUGGAGAUGGGGUUUCGCCAUCUUGGCCAGGCUGGUCUUGAACUCCUGAUCUCAAGUGAUCUGCCCACCUCGGCCUCCCAAAGUGCUGGGAUUAUAGGCGUGAGCCAUCGUGCCUUUCCCUAAAUGACUUAUAUGAUCAGCUUGUCAAUUUUAAAAACCACAUUGUUAAUGUAAAAAUGAAUAAUAUAAUGUAAAAUGUAAAUGUUAAUGUAUACAUAUAUGUAUGAUUUAAUGUGUAAUAUAAAAAGCCUGCUGGGAUUUUGACUUGGAUUUAUUAUAGCUAUAGAUCAAAUUGGGGAAAAUUUACAUCUUACCAAGUUCAGUGUUGGAUAUAAGUGGUAACAGCAGACAUUCUUUCCUUGUUCUGAUGUUGGGGAAAGCAAUCAGUCUUUCACCGUUAAGUAUGAUGCUAGCUGUAGGGUUUUCAGUUAUCCAUUAUCAGGUUGUAGAAGUUCCCAUCUGUUCCUAGUUUGUUGAAAAUUUUCAUCAGGAAUGGAGGUUAGAUUUUGUUAAAUGCUCUAUUUUGUAUGUAUUGAGCUGGUCACAUGUUUUUUCUUUUUAAAUUUUUGUUCGUUUGUUUUUCCAUUUGUUCGAGAUGGAGUCUCGCUGUGUCACCCAGGCUGGAGUGCAGUGGCGUGAUCUUGGUUCACUGUAACCUCCACUUCCGGGGUUCAAGAGAUUCUCCUGCCCCAGCCUCCCGAGUAGCUGGGUUUACAGGCACCUGCCACCACACUCGGCUAAUUUUUUUGUAUUUUUAGUAGAGAUGGAGUUUCACCAUGUUGGCCAGCCUGGUCUCGAACUCCUGACCUCAAGUGAUCCUUCCACACUGCUGGGAUUACAGGUGUAAGCCACCACACCUGACCUUUAAUUUGUUAAUAUAAUGAAUUAAAUUGAUUGAUUUUCAAAUGCUUUUUUUUUCUGGGAGACAGGGUCUCACUUUGUCACUCUGGCUGGAGCAGUGAUGCAGCGAACACGGCUCACUGCAGCCUCAACCUCCUGGGCUCAAGUGAUCUUCCUGUUUCAGCAACCUCCCUCCACCCCUAACCCCACCCCAAGUAGCUGGGACUAUGGGCAUGUGCCACCAUACCUGGCUAAUUUUUUUUAUUUUUUUAUUUUUAUUUUUAUUUUUAUAGAGAUGGGGCUUCACCAUGGUGCCUAGGUUGGUCUUGAACUCCUGAGCUCCAGCAAUCCUUCCACCUCGGCCUCCCAAAGUGCUGGGAUUACAGGCAUGAGCCACCAUGUGCAGCCGAGAUUUUUCUUUCUUUUCUUUUCUUUUUCUUUCUUUCUUUCUUUCUUUCUUUUUUUUUUUUUUUUGAGACGGAGCGUGUCUCUGUCCCCCAGGCUGGAGGGCAGUGGCGCAAUCUCGGCUCACUGCAACCUUACCUCCUAGGUUCAAGUGAUUCUCUUGCCUCAGCCUCCCGAGUAGCUGGAACUACAGGCAUGCCACCACGCCCAGCUAAUUUUUUUGUAUUUUUAGCAGAGACGGGGUUUCACCUUGUAGGUCAGGCGGGUGGUGAUCUGCCUGCCUUGGCCUCCCAAAGUGCUGGGAUUACAGGCGUGAGCCACUGUGCCCCACCCUGAAAGUUUUCAAGUGUUAAACUAAUCUGGCAAUUCUGGGAUAAAGCCUUCUUGGUUAAAAUAUAUUAUUCUUUUUGUAUAUAAUUGAAAUCAAUUUGCUAAAAUUUUGUUUUAAGAAAUUUGCAUCUAUGUUCAUAAGUUUUCUUUUCUUGCAAUGUCUUUGGUUUGAUUUAUAGAAUGCUGAUCUCAUAGGAUUCCAUCCCUCUUCUUUAGCUUUCUGGAAGAGUUCAUGUAGAAUUAGUAUGACUUCUUUAAAAUUUUGGUAUUAUUAUUUUUUUCUUCUGCUUACUCCGAGUUUCACUUUCUCUUCUUUAUGUAGUUUCUUAAGAAAGAAGGAAGCUGAGGUUGUUGACUUGAGCACUUUUUUCCUCCUACUUUAGUUGAGUGCUAUGGAUUUCCCUCUAAGUUCUGCAUUCCCUGCAUCCCACCCAUUUUGAUGUGUUGUGUUUUCUUUUGCAUCAGUUCACAAUGCUAAUUUAUCUUUGAUUUCUUCUUCGACCUAUGGAUUAAGAAGUGAGUUAUUUAGUUUUCAAACAUUUGGUUUUUUUGAAAUUUUUUUUUUUUUUUUGUCCAGGAGGCAUUUUAUUUGUAAAUCUGUAUUACACAUCUAGAAAAAGAAUGCCAGGAUUUUCCCUCCUGUGUGUUUUUGUCUUGCCUCUUCAUGGUCUAUGAUGCUAGCUGAGGUUGUCAGUACAAUAAAACCAAACUGGUGGGAUGGAAGAAGAUUACUCUGCCAUUUUUCUAGAUCUUUGAGUUGCACAUCAAAUCUGGGGCUGAUCACGCCACACUUGUUUAGCCUGCCUGUGGGGCAGCUCUUUGAUCAUCAAUGAUUUCAGUUUUGCCAGUGUAACCAUGCUUCAUCAUCAUAGUGAAAAACUGGACGAUGACUUCAGAGCACAGCCUAAUAAGAACCUGAGUUCAUGGCCUCUCUUUUCAGCAUUGUCGAUGCUCUUGAGAGCAUCAGCCAGGACAUUCAUGUGCACCAUUGUGGCGGUGCAGAAAGAUAAAGGCAAGAGGACAGGAGGGGAGAGCGCACAGAAUUAUUGAGAUAUAUUUUUCUUAUUGAUUUCAUUUUGGUCACAGAGCAUACUUUGUAUAACUCGAACCCUUUUAAAUUAUUGAAAUUCGUUUUAUGGCCCAGAAUUGGACGAUUUUGGUAAAUGUUUUUUUGUGUACCAAAAAAAAAAUGUAUAUUCUGCCAAUCUUGGGUGGACCUGGAAACUUUCUCAAGCCAGUAGGCCGGGGCACUCAAAGAGCUCAUUUUGUUUAUUUCCUGUCUCUCAGGAAUUGGUAUACUUCAUUGCCUUAUACCCAAUGUCUUCAGAACAACUGUUUCAUAUAUUUGUCUAUUUUAUAAGUUGCAUUUGGUGGAAGAAGAGUAAAUCUGGUCUCUGCUAUUCCAUCUUAGCCAAAGUGAAAGUCUCUUUGAACUGCUUUUUAAUUGAGUUUUCAGUCAAUAUUCCUUUGCUAGCCCUACCUUAACCUUCCACUUCCAGAAGUAGCUGGUACUGACUAUUCCCGGACCUUUUCGGUGUUUUUAGAUGUCAGUUGUUUUGUUUCUUGGCUUUUCUCACUGCUGGUUGUGGAAUCUAAUAAAUAUUCUAGCAAAGUUAUUAAAGCAGAGCUGACACUACACAGGGGACCCUGAAAUUAGACAAUCAUGGCUCACUUGUCAUUUUCUCAUGAGGCCACAUUUGUCUGGAACAGGGCCUCAAACUAAUAUACCAACAAGGGCUCUCUAGGGAGAGAAAAUGAAUGAAAACAUGGGUGCAAGAUAACUGGAAGGGGUGGGGACAAACAUAACUCACCUUGUUUAGACAACUCUGCUCUCAUCUCCUGUGACCAUGCAAGAAAGAAGGCCUGGUGUUGCCGGAUCUUCCAGGAAAGUUUCAGAGAAGCUGGAAACGCAUAACUUUAUGUAAAAUUGCCUCUUUUUUUCUUUCUUUCUUUUUUUAUUUGUUUAUUUUUUUUGAGAUGGAGUCUUGCUCUGUCGCCAGGCUAGAGUGCAGUGGCGCCAUCUCGGCUCACCACAACUUCUGACUCCCUGGUUCAAGCUAUUCUCUUGCCUCAGCCUCCUGAGUAGCUGGCAUACAGGUACGCGCCACCACGCCCAGCUAAUUUUUUUAUUUUUAGUAGAGACAGGGUUUCACCAUGUUGGCCAGGAUGGUCUUGGUCUUCUGACCUCAUGAUCCACCCGCCUCAGCCUUCCAAAGUGCUGGGAUUACAGGCCUGAGCCACCACGCCCAGCCCAAAAUUACCUCUUUUAAAAAUCUUGAGAACUCAUCUAAAUUUAAAAGAAUGUCGAAGGCCAAAUGAAAAUCCACGUAAGGAUGGGAUGACAGCUCAGGAUUUGCAUCUCUGUUUCUCUUUCGCGCUUUCCUGCUCCAUUAUGCAGGGAUGUGGAUAUUCACUGGCCUUUGGGGACUGAGGGUGGGUAAGUCUCUAUGGGUAGCAAGGAAAUGACAGACUUUCUAUGAAAACCAACUGAAUCAUGGAAUGAGAGAGCUGGAAGUGACCUUAGAAAAAUGUGGUCAAACCCCAGGAUAUUACAUAAGAAGCACCUAAGGCUUAGAAAAGUCAGGUGACUUCUCUAAGUACAAAGACUGUAUUAGUUAAUAGUUGGGCUGAGUCUGCAUCUAGUUGCCUAGCCAAAUUUUCUUUCUUCUGUGUUCCAUGAGAGCAAGAGAUAUGUCAGUAUCCUUAAUGCAAUUCUUGGUGCAUAGUAGGUAUUCAAUGAAUAUUUGUUGAAUUAAAAACACAUACUGAGUUGCUUUCUAUAAUAUUAGCAUGUGCUAUCUUUAUCAGUUAGGAUAUGGUGUGGCUACAUAUAACAGAAAAUUCCCAAAACAUUAGCUCAUAUACAAUAAAGAUUUAUUUAUCUGUGAAAGAAAUGUGGACAUUUAGGGUGUCAACAAUGUUCUCAUCUCUUCUGGUUCUGUUUUACCAUUCUUCGUGUAUGGCUUCUAUCCUUAAAUUUAUCUUAUGAUACUGAAGCUAUAGCCAUACAGCUCAACUAAAUUCCAAGAUGGAAGAAUGCAGAAUGCCUCCAUGGCAAAAGGUUUUCCUGGAAGUUCCACCCAACUUCCACUUAAAUCUCAUAGUUUGAAACUUAGAUAAGUGGCCACAUGUAGUUCCAAGGGAGGUUAGGAAAAGGAAGUUGGAUACAUUGUCUCCUUGAAUAAAUCUGGGUUUUGUUAAAGAAAGGAUGGAAUGGGUAUUUAGUAGGCAACUAGCAGUAUCUGCUGGAAUUUAAGAGUUAAUUAUUGAUUGAAAUAUUGUUUCCUGCAGUUUUGAUAUGCACAAUAAUCAAAGCAGAAAUAUGUAAGCCUUUAAAGAUAUUUAUCAGAAGAUAUUCAAACAAAAAAAUACUGGUUUAGUUCAGAUAAUAUUCUAAUGUUCUGGUUAAAUCAUUUUAGAAAACAUUGGUUCAGCUUCAGUUCAUGUUAGUUCAGUAGGAUUUUACUGGUUUUCAUGGAAAUCCUUUUGGAUGAGUCCACAAUUUAGAAAAACAUAAUGUUGUAUUUCAGUUCAGCACUCGGUUUCAGAAAUGAGUGUGAUCUCUUUGAAUUUUUGGUUCAUAAUUUGAGUCAACUCCAGUUCCUGUUUCUAAUGUAUCCACCCUAGACAUUUUGUAGUUAUGGCUUAGAAAGACAGACAUGGGCCAAAGAACUGGUUUCCACUGAGGCUCGAGUUUAUUAAUCCUGCUCUUCUUAUGUAGGAGCCAAUAAUCCUAAUGGCUUUGAAUGACUCUAAAUUUAUCUCUGUGAUUUGGCAUGACUAAAGGUCUCACUCAUGACAGACAUGCCAAAAUUAACACAUUAGCCUGUUUCAUACUUGUUCUAUGAUAUAAAUGCACCUAAUUGAAAAUGUCUCUGUUCUUACUCAUAAGUUUUGCAUUCCCGUGGUUUGAGAUUUCUUUUACCAUGUUAGUUCUAGAACACUAUUCUGGAUUUUGUAUGGUGUCUCAGAAAAUACACUUAAAAAUUAGAGGUUCAAGUUUUUUUUUUUUUUUUUUUUUUUUUUUUUACGGGGACUGAGGAGGUACUGUACAUUUCAGAAGGAGAAUGUAUGUGGGGAGUGAGAGGCUCCUUCUCCAGGGAAUCCCGCUGAUCAGGGACUGGGAAAAGGUGGCUCAGCAUUGCCAGAUACCUGGAGUACACUACAACAUUUUAACUACAAAUUAGAAAUCUGAGUUCCUAUGAAAAACCCUGAUUUGUACAUAUCAGCCAAUAACUUAAAAAAUUAAAAUCAACAAGUGGGCCACUACUGUGCUGGCCAAACAGUACAUGUCUAUAGGUUCAGUUAUUGGGCUGCUGGUUUUCAGAGUCUGAUUUUGACACUGCCUAUUUUUUCUAUGUCCUCCCUGUCCUCUUCCAUGCCUUACUUGAUGAUUCUGCCCUUAUUCUUUUGGAUAAAAAUGUUGAUAAAAUAUUCAAAAGUAGGAACCCAAUUCUCUGGGUAUGACUGUAUGCUUCUCUCAUGGUCAUUGGCCACCCCUAUGACAUUUAUCUAGUCAAGUUUGCACAUAUAGCCAUUGGUCAUAAAGUAGAAUGAGCAAGAGGCUGUAAACGAUGCACUACAAUCCAUCUCACACAAUUAACCUGGUAGAAGUCUUCAUGUUUAUGUGCUACUUAUUUGUUUUCCAAAAUGCAUUCAAGGAGUGCCAGCUGCGUAUGGCAAGUGGAAUGCACAGUGGGUACAUACCCUCCACUGGACUUUACUUAUUUUCAAAAUUUGAAUUAAACAGAAGAAGCCCGUUGCCCUCUGGUCAUAAGCUGUGAGGAUGUGAGCCUAGAAGCCACCAGCAGACAUAGUUCCUUUAUCAGGAGAAAGAUGGUGUGAGAGAAUAAAGCCAACAUGCUGAGAUAUGCAUUAUCUUUCUCCUGGAUACUGCAAGGGCUUCCUGACUUGUCUUCCCGUUUCUACCCUUGCUCCACAGUCUACUUCCAACACAAAAACUGGAGUGAUCUUUAGAAACAAAAGUCAGAUGUCACCUCCUUGCUUAAAAUCCUGCUUCGGGCCGGGUGCGGUGGCUCAUGCCUGUAAUCCCAGCACUUUGGGAGGCUGAGGCUGGUAGAUCACCUGAGGUCAGGAGUUCGAGACCGGCCUGGUCAACCUGGUGAAACCAUCUCUACUGAUAAUACAGAAAUUAGCUGGGCAUGGUGGUGGGCGCCUGUAAUCCCAGCUACUGCGGAGGCUGAGGCAGGAGAAGCGCUUGAACCUGGGAGGUCGGUGGAGGUUGCAGUGAGCCGAGAUGGCGCCAUUGCACUCCAGCCUGGAUGACAGAGCAAGACUCAAUCUCAAAAAAAAAAAAUAUAUAUAUAUAUAGCUAACACCAAUACACAUUUUCUACAUUUUCUAUGUGCCAGGCAUUAUUGUAAGUGCUUUAUGCAUAUUCACUCAUUUAAUUCUCACAACAGCUUUAUGAAGUUGGCACUAUUAUUAUCCAUUUAUUAGAUGAGGAAGCUGAGUCAUUGAGAUAUUAAGUAAUCUACUCAAAGUGCCACUGUUAAUAAGCAUGGGGCCACAAUUUAAACUCAGGCGUCAUGAUUUCAGAGUCCACUGAAAUCAUAAUGAAAGGUUUUCAGAUGAUAAAAAACCCACCUCAAAUUGGCUUACAUAAAAAGUGGAACUUACUCCCUUCUAUCAUGGACCAGUCCCUGGCGCUAUCCCAGUGUGCCGUCAGUAUUUGGUACUCUUCUCUCUCAUCUCAGCCUCGUUCUCAGGCAGCCUCUCUGUGUGUGGUGACCGCAGCAACACUGGGUCCACAUCAUUUUCAGCUUCGAGUUUAGAAGACAGAGAGGAGCUUGUGCCGAUAAGUCUCAGGACUGAGUCUCAGUGAUCCCAGUGGGGUGUCUGACUCAUAACUGAACAUUUCACCCUGGGGCCAGGAUAGAAGAUACCAAUUGGCCAGAUCGUGGUCAUGUGACAACCUGUCUAACUAUGGGUUAGGGGAUGGUGUUGAUUUUGUAUCACCAGAGCCAUGUAGGCCAAGAGUGGGUGAGGAGCUGUUGCACCAAAUAUAAACAGGGUGCUAUUAUAAGUAAAAGGAUGGCCGGGCACGGUGGCACACACCUGUAAUCCCAGCACUUUGGGAGACCAAGGCGGGUAGAUCACCUGAGGUCAGGAGUUCGAGACCAGCCUGACCAAUAUGAUGAAAUCCUGUCUCUACUAAAAAUACAAAAAAAUUAGCCAGGCGUGGUGGCAGGCAUCUGUAGUCCUAGCUACUCAGGAGGCUGAGGCAGGAGAAUUGCUUGAACCCGAGGGGUGGAGGUUGCAGUGAGCUGAGAUCAUGCCACUGCACUCCAGCCUGGAUGACAGAGUGAGACUCCGUUUAAAAAAAAAAACAACCUCAAAAAACCCAAAAAACCAAAAAAAAAAAAAAAAAAAAAAAAAAAAAAAAAAAAAGGGUGGGGGGAUGGAUACUGGGUAAGGAAAAAUAUUGGAUGGCCACUACAGGCAGACACUGUGUUUUGUUUGUUUGCUUGUUUUUUGUUUUUUUUUUCACAGAUGAGGGGCCUAGGGUUCAUAAAUGCUAAGUGAUAUUCCCAGGACUAUAGAUCUAGAGCAUGGCAGGGCUGGGAUUUGAAUCCCAAAACUUUUGUCUUGUCAUAAAAAGACAAACUUGGCCAGGUGCGGUGGCUCACACCUAUACUCCCAGCACUUUGGGAGGCUGAGGCGGGACAAUCACCUGAGGUUGGGAGUUUGAGAUCAGCCUGGCCAACAUGGUGAAACCCCAUCUCUACUAAAACUACAAAAAUUAGCCAGGCAUGGUGGCAGGUGCCUGUAAUCCCAGCUACUCGGGAGGCUGAGGCAUGAGAAUCGCAUGAACCCAGGAGGCGGAGGUUGCAGUGAGCUGAGAUCUCACCACUGCACUGCAGCCUGGGCAACAGAGAGAGACUCCAUCUCAAAAAAAAAAAAAAAAAAAAAAAAAAAAGACAAACUGGAAAUGACGGGAAUGGUAGUUGUCAGGGUGGUCUUCAGGGUCCAGGGACUGCCUGGUGCUCUGUCUAUUCGCACCAUCACUUCUUUUUUCCUGCCUUUUAGCUCAGCCCUGAGGGGCUCCAACUCCAGGACCCCAGAACUGGUUUUCUUUAAGAAAGGAUCUGGAAGGUGACAGGGAGGUGAAGGAGUGGAGCUUCCUUGAAAUGGCAGACCCAGAGACCUAGAGGAGCCUUGCUUCUGUGGUCUAAUUGGACUAAUUUUAGGCUGUUAAUUAGCCUCUGGCAAUUAUUUUUCACUCCAGAAAUUCCCCAGUUUUAUUUACACAGAGUGAUUUAGCCUUUUCACAGACAGAGUUAUUUCCUUAUAUUUGGUUCUGUUUAAAAAAACCUCCAGUCCCCAAAGCCUUCCAAAAAGCUGGGCCGGAAGCAGAGCCCAGGAUCAAGUAUCUGCAACUUCAGAGGCAAGGAAGGUCUGGGGGCUAAAAUUCACACAGUCAACAAUUUUAAGCAGUUUAGGCCAAUGCUCACUUGUUCUUUCUUUCCCUUCUUUCCUUCUUCCCUCCAUCCUUUCCUUACCUCCUUUCUUUCUGCUUAAAACCCCUCUGUUCUUAAUGUGCUUGGCUUAUACUCCUUAAUAGAUACUAAGCAUCUAUUAGAAGUCAAACAUUUUGGGAAGAGCUUAAGAGAGGCUAUGUUCUCAGUAAGAUAUCUAUAAUUUACCUUCACAAAGUUCAGCAUAGACAGAAAAUAUUGAGUUUGUGCUAUUUGGUAGAAGCUCUGACUCCAAGGGCAGCACCUCUUGCCAAGAACACAAUCAGGGCAUAGUCAGCUCCAUUCCAAUUAGGAAGUUAAGGCAGCUGCUGUGAGCACCAAUGAUAUCCAUAUCUUGAUCAGUACCUUAUGUUUGGCUUAGCAUAGUGAAUGUCAGAAAGGGUUUUUAUUAAUUCAAGUAGUAGCUAGUAGUCUGCACAGUGAAUGUGGGCUCUUAACUGGGUGAAACUGAAGAUAUUUGAGAUGCGUGGAUGGGGCUAAAAUAGUUCAGAACCACUCACAUAAAUAGGUUAGAGAAAUCUAGGAAGGCCUGCUGCCUGCACCCUCAGGGAAGGCAUCAGAAACUUGAUCCCAACUGGUCCUACAUCUAGCCACUUGUUAGGAGGAUGUCUGGUUGCCCAAUGCCACGUAUGAGGGUAACAUAUGUGUUACCCUCAUAUGUUGUCAUAAGAGAAUGUUGUCAUAUGAGACUGUUGUCAUAUCUGUCUCAGAUAAACUUUUCAUAUAAGACAGUGGCCAAAGCACUUCAAAGGGUAGAGAGCUUGGGUUUCACGGCCCUUAAAGAUCAGACUUUAUAAACUGUCUUUCAUUUACUAGCUAAUAAGUUCUUUUUUAGUGAAUGUUCAUAUAUGUGGCAGAAUUUGAUGUGAGAUUUCCCAUCAAUGUCAUGGGACAGGGAGGGUGUGGGAAGCAGAUAAACCUCACCCACCUGGAACCUCACCCACCUCCAACAUCUUCUUCAGUGACUACUGUUUCCACCAAAGAGAACCAACAUUGCAUAUACUGAAACUGGCUUAAGUUUGUUUGCAAUAACUCCUUCCCUUCAGAGAAUUUGCAUCUUAGCUAGAAAGAUGAAUCUAUUAGGCCAUUUUCACACUGAAGAUGGGCUACCCAAGAUUGGGUAAUUUAUAACUGGAAGAUACUACCCAAGAUUGGGUAAUUGAUAAACAAAGGAGGUUUAAUUGACUCACAAUCCUGCACGCCUGGAAAGGCCUUGGGAAACUUAUAAUCAUGGCUGAAAGGAGGCAGGCACCUUCUUCACAAGGCGGCGGGAGAGACAGCGAGCAAGAGCAGGGAAAACUGCCUUAUAAAACCAUCAGAUCUCAUGAGAACUCACUCAUUAUCAUGAGGACAGCAUGGGCGAAACUGCCCUCAUGAUCCAAUCACCUCUCACCAAGUUCCUCUCUCGACAUGUGGAGGUUAUGGGUGUUACAGUUUGAGAUGAGAUUUGGGUGGGGACACAGAGCCAAACCAUAUCAAUGAACAAUUAGGGGAAAACCACACUUCAAACAAGGAUACCCAUACAGCAUACAAUGUACAAGCAAGAACAGGAGGGCUUCAGAAAGGGCAGAAAACAGUUAGGCAGGUUUUUCUUCCUUUACUUUUGUGAGCUUUAUUGAGGUACCGUUUAUAUAACAUAAAACUCACCAGUAUCAAGUGCACGAUUUGAAGAGCUUUGACAAAUGUAGACAUUUGUGAACCACCAUCACAAUCAAGGUGUAGAACAUGUCUAUCACUCCCAAAUAUUUCUUCUUUCCUAAUUUUAGUCAAUCUCGUACUCCCACCUCUUGGACCCUGACAACCACGGAUGUAGUUCCAUCACCCUAGUUUUACCUUUUAGAAAAAAUUUCACAGAAAUGAAUCAUACAGUUUGUAGCCUUUUGAGUCUGGCUUCUUUCACUUGGCAUAAUGCAUUUGAGAUUUGUCCAUGUUUCAGUGUAUAUCAGUAGUUCAUUCCUUUUUAUUGCUGAGUAGUAUUCUGUUGUAUGGAUGUACCACAAUUUGUUUAUCACUUCACCAGCUGAGGUCAGAAGUUUAAGACCAGCCUGGCCAACAUGGUGAAACCCCGUCUCUACUAAAAAUACAAAAAAUUAACCAGGCGUGGUGGUGGGUGCCUGUAAUCCCAGCUACUUGGGAGGUUGAGGCAGGAGUAUUGCUUGAACCUGGGAGGCAGAGGUUGCAGUGAGCCGAGAUUGCACCAUUGCACUCCAGCCUGGGUAACAAGAGUGAAACUCUGUCUCAAAAAAAAAAAAAAAAAAGAGCCAUAUUGUUUGUUUGUUUGUUUGUUUGUUUGUUUAUUUAUUUAUUUAUUGAGACAGGAUCUUCUUCUGUUGCCCAGGCUGGAUGGAACCGGCACCAUCAUAGCUCACUACAGCCUUGACCUUUUGUGCUCAAGCAAUCCUCCCAUCUCAGCCUCCCAAGUAACUGGGACUACAGGUAUGCACGACCAUGCCCAGCUAAUUAAAACAAAUUUUUUUUUAGAGACAGGGUCUUACUAUGUUGCCCAGGCUGGUCUCAAACUCCUGGGCUCACGGGAUCCUUCCACCUCAAACUCCCAAAAUGCUGGGAUUACAGGCAUGAGCCACCUUGCCCAGCCAUAUUAUUUUUUAAAGCGUUUGUACUCCCACCAGCAAAGUAUGAGAAUUCCACUUACUCCACAUCCUCAUCAAUGUUUGACAUUGUCAGUCUUUUAAAUUCUAACCAUUCCAAUGUGUGUAUACACAGUGGUGUUUCACUGUGGCUUUAAUUUGCAUUUCUCUAUUGAAUAAUCAUGUUGAGCAUCUUUGCAUGUGCUUAUUUUUCAUUUGUAUAUCUUUUAUAAAGUAUGUAUUCAUUUUUUUGCCCUUUUUUUCUUAUAGAGUUAUAAGAGUUUUUUUGUUUUUGUUUUGUUUUGCUUUGUUUUUUGAGAACGAGUUUUGUUCUUGUUGCCCAGGCUGGAGUGCAAUGGUGCAAUCUUGGCUCACUGCAACCUCUGCCUCCCGCGUUCAAGUGAUUCUCCUGCCUCAGCCUCUCGAGUAGCUGGGGUUACAGGCAUGCAUCACCACGCCCAGCUAAUUUUGUAUUUUUAGUAGAGACAGAGUUUCUCCAUGUUGGUCAGGCUGGUCUCGAACUCCUGACCUCAGGUGAUCUGCCCGCCUCGGCCUCCCAAAGUGCUGGGGUUACAGGCAUGAGCCACCGAGCCCAGCAAGAGUUUUUGAAGUAUUGUGCACACAGAUCUUUUACCAGAUAUUUGUUUUGCAAAUAUUUUCUCCUGGUCUCUGGCUUUCCUUAUUGAUUCCUUAACUGUCUUUUCUUAUUAGUUUUGUUUCUGAACUGUAUCUUUUCAAGAGUAAAAUUUUAAGUUUUGAUGAAGUUCAAUUCAUCGAUUUUUUUGUGUCCCUAUUUUUAAGAAAUCUUUGCCCAAUGCAAGGCUACUAAGAUUUUCUCCUAUGUUUUCUACUGUUUGUUUUAUAGUUUUAUCUCUUAUGUGUAGGUUUAUGAUCCAAUUUAUUUUAAUUUUUUGUAUAUACUAUGAGUUAGAGAUUGAGAUUUUCUUUUGCCCAUGCCUAUUUAAUUCUCCCAGCUCCAUUUGUUGAAUGUCUAGUUUUUACUUCAUUGAAGUGCCUUGGCAUCUUUGUAAAAAUCAAUUUGCCAUAUACAUAUAAGUUUAUUUCUUGACUUUCUGUUUUGUUCUGAUACCAUCACUGCCUUUUCUACUAUCGCUUUAUAAAAAGUCUUGAAAUCAGAUAGUAUAAUCUACCUUUGUUCUUCCUUUUCUUUAAAGCUGAGAUUUAAAGUAUAGGAAUUUAAUUUGGUCCUGUAUCUGGAAUGAAAUGAAACUGGUCCAGAUUCCACCUCGAAUACUUGCUAGCUGGGAGAUCUUAGCCAAGUCACAUGUUUUACCCGAGUCUCACAAUACUUCAUGGCCUUGUGAAGAUUAAAUGAAUGAUUGAAAGUUUAAAAAAUGGGCUGGGCAUGGUGGCUCACACCUGUAAUCCCAGCCCUUUGGGAGCCCGAGGUGGGUGGAUCACUUGAGGUCAGGAGUUUGAGACCAGUCUGGCCAACAUGGCAAAAUCCCAUCUCUACUAAAAAUACAAAAAUUCGCCAGGCGUGGUGGUGCAUACUUGUUAUCCCAGCUACUUGGGAGGCUGAGGCAGAAGAAUUGCUUGAACCCAGGAGGCAGUGGUUGCUGUGAGCUGAGAUUGCGCUACCACACUCCAGCCUGGGUGACAGAACAAGACUCCAUCUCAAUUAAAAAAAAAAAGAAAGUUUAAAAAAUGUACUUUUAAAACGGUAAAGAGAGAUGCACAUAUCACCUGAUAUGUUGUUAUGGUCCUAGGAGUGGUUAUUCUAUAGGCAACCCAAAUAAUAGUGCCUGCUUUCUUGCAGUGUUAAAAAAAUAUUAGCCGCCCAUACUUACUGUACGCUCCCUACUGGGCCCUCCUGCAGAAUAAUGAGAAAUCCUUACCCCUUGACACUCUUGGCCAUGUGACUUGCUUGGGCCAAUCAGCUGUGAGCAGAAGUGACAUGUCCUCUUCUAAGCAGAAGCUAUAAAAGCCAUCAUGUGUCCUCCACUUUUUCUUUUCUUCCUCUCCAUUAGAUUGCCCCAAACCCCCAUUUUUCUGGAUGCUGUUCCUUGUUCACUUCCCUCUCCCUUAUAUGCGUGGGUCACUCAAGAACAGCCAUGUACUUCCAUGGCCCUGCCACCCUGGUCUCAGAUGGGCACCUGAGGGUUUGGGGGCAAUGAUCUGUCCCCUGCAAUUUUUAGACUAGAGUACAGCUAGUCAGGUCAAUCUUUCUUCAGUGGUUGAAGCUAUAAGCUGUACAGUUUGUGGCCACUGCUUUCCGCCUUGUGAGUUAUAAUGGAAAUCUACCAUGUGUGGCUGCCCAAAUCUUGUAAAUAUUUCCACAUUUCAGUAGUGCCAUGUUUCGUGAAUCUUGUCACCUCAAGGUAGGUUCCAAAAACCGUAAACCAACCAGCCAACCUACAAUUCCCAGCUUCCAUUGCAGCAAGAGAGUAGAAUCAUGGUCUAGGUUCUCCUAACCAGAUAAUCCUAUGUGGAAUUUUGAUUUGCAAAUAUGUGAGAAAGCAGUUUGGGUGAGUGGCUAGUGGAUUGGUAUCAGGUCCCUUAUUGGGUCAGUUCUUUAGCAGGGUUCUGGGAGUUGUUCUAGGAAGACCAGCCUAAAACCUGUUUCUCCACACUUUCAGUGAUUCUGUGAGCUAAUCCAAGGUAGUUUUCAAAAUACUUCACAAGUGGCACAGCCUGGGCCCUGCUGCACCUGACAGGGUGCUGUGACCAGGCAGAAGGGAAGUGGCUGUAAACAGCCAGUAAGACUGUGCAGGUGUAUACAAGCUGAUUGUCAGUCCGAGGACAAAUAAUGUCCUUUCAAAAAUCCUUUUCUCCUUAAGCCAUAUAGAUUUUGUUGCCUACAGCCCAGAACCAGUUCUUAAUGAAAGAGAAAUGUAAGUUCAGUUCUUGGAGAGUGGUAGGGAAAAGGUGCAGAGUCCAUCCCAACGUGGCCAAGGCCCUGAUUUCUGUCAUUCCCAAGGUCCAGCUGCAUCUCUGUUUGUCCAUAGCUUGACUUUAUUUUCUUUUUUAAAGACAGGAUCUGACUUUGUCACCCAGGCUGGAGUGCAAUGGCACUAUCUUGGCUUAAUGCAACCUCCCAGGCUUAAGUUAUCCUCCCAGUCUCAGCCUCCUGAGUAGCUGGGAUUACAGGCGUGUGCCCCCACUCCCAGUUAAUUUUUGUAUUUUUUUGUAGAGAUGCGGUUUUGCCAUGUUGCCCAGGCUGGUCUUGAACUCUUGGGCUCAAAAAGAUUCGUCCGUCUCCACCUCCCAAAAUGCUGAGAUUACAGACAUGAGCCACCAUGCCCAUUCCCACCUUUCUUUCUUUAAAAAGAUGAACAUUAAUAAAUUAGAUGAGAAAAAUGAAAGAGUAGGGGCUGAGAAACUUCGGUUAAACAAUGAUUUAUUUAAUGAAGAAGCAGCAUGCAUCAGAGAAGCUCUUUGAUUCUGCUUAGAGGCAGAUCCUGAAGGAAAGAUUUGACUGCAAGUAAAUUAUUUAGGAAAUGAUUCUAGGAAACAACUGUGGGAGAGGGAGGAAGUGAGAUGGAAAGGGAAGGCAGCCAACGAAAUGUGCUUUAUCAAGCAGGUUACCAAAAUGUGGAACUGGAGCUUAAUCUCAUUUGGGAACUUUGGAGGGUUGUAGAAAACACACCCACAUGUGCUACCCAAGAGGUGAGGGAGCUGGGAUAUUUAUACACCAGCCUGGUCAGUCACUGGUUGAGGGCAGCUAGAUGGUGGUGUGGUGGGUAAUUAUCCGGCAGAGUGGGUCCAAUAGGCAGAGAAAGCCCUUAGGCGAAGAGAGACAGGUUGGCAGUUGGAAGUUGGGCAGCUGUCCUGAGAUGGUAAGAGAGAGGGGAAAUGGGUGUGGCAUGGACAGCUUCUGCCAGAUCUUGUUUAGACUUUUCCCUGAAUGCACACCUAUGUGAGGCACCACUUCCAUAAUAAAAAUGUCACAUGGUAGUGACAUGCUUGUGCUAAGGUAGAUUCAAAUUUAUUUCGGGUUUAAGAUCAAUGGGAACAUUUAAAAAAUGAAUUGCUCAUAUAAUUAUUGCUUGAAAGUCCAUCUCUUCUGUUUGACUGUAAGCUUUCUGAGGGCAGAGCCUAUGUCUUUAUUUGCUCACUGUUUUAUCCCUGGGCUUUAGCAUGGUGCCUAACACAUAGCAGAAAUUCAAUAAUUUUUUUAUUGAAUGAAUUUGGCAUAAUUAGACAAUGUGGGGUAUUGCUAGAUGUUAAAAUUUGAAAAAAAAUCUGAAUGUGUGCAACAUAAAAAACAAAACCCCAAUGAUUUAUCUUUAUAGCUCCAAAAUGUCAUUAUUAGCUUAAGAAUAUAUUUUUGUGUGACAAGCAAGUUGAUUUGCUUAUUAAAUUAUUAAUUGAUAUGUUUAGAGGGCUACAGACCUUGUAAAACAUUGGAGGAGGUUUUGUUUUUUUUUUUUUUAACCCCCUUCUUAACUCAAAAAAGUCUAAGGAGGGAGAAAGAAAAAGCUGAUUUUUCAGCUGUUUGUUUUCUUUUUCCUCCCAACACUCUGAGGUUUCUACGUGCUGUUAAAACAGGGCCAAGAAUCCCUGGCUUGGAUUCUGUCUUUCCUUGGGGGCAGAAGUUUCCCUCUCAGGCCUCCGGGGUCUUUCCAGUCUGCAGUCUUCAAAUAUGGGCUGACCAACCCAGAAAUGAUAUUUUUUGUUGACUAACUCCAGGCACAUAUGUUCUUUCGUGGAGGGAUAUUUUUGAAAGAAAGGCUGCACAGUUUCCAUUUGCAAGAGAAGAGUAUAUUUUCAGAAGCUUCUAUGGGAGGGAGACUGACCUUUGCUCUAACACAGAGAGUCUUCUUCAAUCUGGGAUUUUAUGGGGAACCUCAUCUAUUUUCUUUCUUCUUCUUUCCUGCUGGAGCUAGUUUCCUCUGUUCUCUGGUUAAACAUUUUUAUUGGAUGGAUUUUACAAUGGGGAGGAACACAUACUUUUUUGUUGAAAGACCAUCUCCAGCUAAUGGAAUCUAAUCGGGCCAAGGGAAUAAAAUUUGGGAAUUCAAUUUCCUCAAACUGAGUCGACACUUCACUGCUCCUGUUUCAUGCACUUUGAAAUAUGGCGUGUUCAUGUUUGAAGGCACAGAGAGAGUUGAGCUCAUUCUUAAGUGAGACAUUCUAGGCAAGAAAUAGCUAGAACUAAUAUUAAAAUCGUCAACUGUAAACGCCCCUUCUACCCCAACAAAAGACAACAGUAUGUGAACUAAACCCCUCCCUUCUAUACGGAUGCUGCAGAGAAACCCCCUGUUGUCCUUUGGGAACAAUGGUUGGAAUAAGUAUGUAAUGAGUGGGGGUGAGGAGAAGAGUUUGAAAUUAAAAAAAAAAAAUGUUUCAUGUGGUAGAUCAGAAGCUGACCAAUAAAAUAUUGCAACAUUUAUACCAACCAACCCUAUGGUUAUGGUUGCAACUGUACGUAAUUAUAUCUCAUUUUCAUUUCAUUUAUUUUUAAAGAGCUUAGAGAUUUCUCUUUCAGCUAAAAACAGUAUAGGGCGUUUCAUUGAUGAUUGGGAGAGGGAGGGUGGAAGUGUGGUAACAGAGUCACCUUGUUACUGUGCACUUGGGAUAUAUGCUUUGGUCCAUGACAGCUGAGCAUAGAACGACCUCAUUCAGGAACAAAUAUCGUCUAAAGAUUUUGUCUAAGAAACCCAGUGCUAUGUACCCCCUAGUUAUUUACAGAGAAACACAAUAAUUUCUAUAAAACUGAAUGUGUAAACAAAAAUUAAAAUCCAGCCUCAAGAAAGGAAGAGCAUCUUCUCUAGUCUGUCUGUGUAGGCCCCUCCCCAGUGGAACUUCAAAUUCCUUUCCCAAUCCUAUUUGCCACUCUCCCCACUCAGAAAACCUUUUCUCAAGGAAACUUGCCCACACCUCCACUCACAUAUUCAUGGAGAAAUACUCCUAGUCUUGAGCGUUAGAAUGCUAUUGUGUGAAUGUUGCAUUUUGAUUUAUUAAUAGGACAUUUGAAUCCAUCUUUACUCUCAAUCAUUCAGCAUAUUUCUAAUCUAAUUUUAUACACCAGUUUAUAAUUGUUCUCAUUAAAGAGCUGUGGAACAGCCUGACUUUAAAAGGAAAGUAAUGGAAAUAGAGAAAGGAGAAAUCAGGGUAACUGGGCAGAGACAAUAUCCGUUCUUUCAUUUUUAUAUAGAAAUAGAAUUUUCAGCUGAGCAUAGGGCUGCCCAGCUAAGAUGACAAGAAGACCAAUCUGCCUUGUAGCUAGGACCAAGUUUUGGCCAAUGGGAUGGGCAGAAGUGAUGUGUGCAGCUUCUAGGUCAUGCCUUUAAGGGGAGGACACUUCUGCUGAACUUCCCCUAUCUCCUACUGCCAGUGACAGAGGUGUGGAUGUCAGCAUGAGACAUCCUAGACCAUGCAGAUAAGGACUAUGCCCAUGGAUGGCAGAUCAACAACAUAGCAAGCACCUGAGUCUCAAUCCUGGGCACUACUGUGUCAGCCCUAGAUAUACCCAGACUAUUACAUAAAAGGGAAAUUACAUUCUCUCUUGUCUAAACUACAGUUGUUUUAGAUCUCUUUUGGAGCAGCCAAGCCUGUGUCUGACACUGAAGAAUUUUAUUACAUUCUUCAGCCCUGGAGAAUUUCAUUAAAGAGACCUCCUUGCAAAGUUGGUAAUCUCCACACAUUUUGCUUUGCUUAUCUAGGCAGGUCAAGUCCAAAGUGCAUUUUUCCAAACGCUUCUGCUCCUCUUUCUGCCUAGGAGUACUCUUAUCAGUGCUUGGGGUGGGGGUGCUGAACUGAACCAUGAACUUAGGAAGUUAAGCUAUCUCUGUGGGAGUCACGGGUGCUGGAUGAGAGCAGGAUAAGCAAGCUACUAGAAAGAGAGACACAAGAGGGCUCCCAAGCCAAAAGGACUUGAGGCCUUGAGCCUUCAGGGAAAUGGAUGCAUCUGAAGACAGAGUGGCCCUCGAAGCAGGACUGGUUGGCCGCAAAACAAGAGAAAUGGUGGUGGUGUCAUCCUUGCUUUGCAGGAAGAAUACUCUCACUGAGCUCUCUUAGAGUACUUCUGGCCUCAGUAGCCUGCAGGAAUGGAAAGGAAAGGGUUUGUCAAGACAGCUCUGUGUGAGCAAUGUGCAGCAGGCUCUUCUCAGGCUGAGGCCAUUAAUCUUUCAUUCAUUGAAUCACCUUUGCUCUGAUGUCUCAUUCACCAAGCCCUCUUCUGCUGCAAUUUGGUUUCACACCUGGAUCUCCUACAAUGAAAGUGCUGAUCAUAGAGACUUUGAGCCUUUCUGGUCUUUGUGAUGUGGAUGGCUCAUGGCAAAUAAAUAAAGUCGCUGCAGGUCAGGAUUUGGCUUCCCAAGUUGCUUGCAUAAAGAGUGAAUAAUGCAGAUCUUGCUGCAGGUGAUUUGGGCCCAGGUGGAGUUAUGUUUCUCUUUGUACCAUAAUGCAUUUGCAUUCUGGUGUCUGCCUAAGGCUUGGGUCCUUUUCUGUAGAAUGAGACCAUUUUUUAGCCCUGAUAACCCCUCAGGGAGUCUCUGAGACCACUUAAUACAUUAAAAAUCCACCAUGGGUUCCUGCCCUUGUCUACCAGUUUUCCCUUGGACUAAUGGCUGGAAGUUUUUUAUGUUUGAUGAGUGUGACAUUAGAUGGACAAGUUCACCCCAUGCCUAUUCCCUGAGUUAUAUUCAGCUCUAGGACACUUGCCCUUACCCUGUGCCUUUUUCUUCUUCCACUGAAAAGAGCAUAUGAGAAUGUAAGGAGGCUUUCCAUCCAGGAGAGAAAGCCUGGGAUCCUCUCUAGGUGGUAAUGAGAAAGGUUAACUUUUGCAAAGCAACAUAUUCCUUCUGCCAUGCUUAACCUUGAUGGGGUCACAUUCCAGUGUGGGGAGGCUGCUGUUGUAAAGUGGGGGACCCCCUUCUACCCUGGUCUGCUCUCUCUCUGCUGAGAGCCAGGGAUAUUGCUAGAUUUGGCAAAGCAUAAUGUUCUGGCUCUUUAUGAGCGUAUGCUAAAGUAUUCAGUCUUUUUUCUAGGUGAGUUCAUUUUGCUUUGAGACAAAAAUCUUAGCAUUUGCCCUUGAUUUUUUACCCUAAUUUGCAAUUUUAAUAUUAUUUGUGAUUAAUUUUUUAAAAAGCUUUUCAUUUUCUAGUCUAAAUUAAUUAUAGUCUUUUAUUUUGGAGAAUAGAAAGCUAUGUAUUUUCAGCUUGAAAUAUGUUAGAAUGAUGAGUGGGGAAAUAGUUUUGUUUAAUGGAAAGAGCACGUGUUUUAGUGUCAGAUUUUUAGCGGUGUUUGCGAUAUAGCACUUUAUCGUUCUGAGCCUUGAUUUCUUCAUCUUUUAGUUAAAAGGGGAUUUUUGCAGGACUGUUGAGAUAAUUAGAUACUGUUUGUAAAGCACCAGCCAGGGCCUGGGAUGGAGGACAUUAACAGAUGAUGCCCUCCUUUAUCUUUCUGUACAGCGGGUGUGCCCCAGAGCAAUGCAAGGAUCAACCAUAGAUGCCCAGGUUGUCCUAAACUUUCAGGAAUCCCCAUUUGAAGGUGACUCCAUAGGUUUUCUAGGCUGAGUUUUGGGAGUUUCUGGUAGUGGUGGCAGAAAUGGAGUUGGAGGAACAAUGUGUGUGUGUGUGUUUGUGUGUGUUUGUGUGACAGAGACAGAGAGACUGCCCAGUUUUAGGGAUUUCAAGGGAAGGAGCUGUUUUAGCUUGAUCUUAUACAACAUCCCUGUGAUAUCAAAAACUUGGGGCUGGGCGUGGUGGCUCAUGCCUGUAAUCUCAGCACUUUGGGAUGCUGAGGCAGGCAGAUCACCUGAGGUCAGGAGUUCGAGACCAGCCUGACCAACAUGGAGAAACCCUGUCUCUACUAAAAAUGCAAAAUUAGCUGGGCGUGGUGGUGCAUGCCUGUAAUCCCAGCUACUCGAGAGGCUGAGGCAGGAGAAUCUCUUGAACCCGGGAGGAGGAGGACACGGUGAGCCGAAAUGACACCAUUGCACUCCAGCCUGGGCAACAAGAGUGAAACUUGGUCCAAAAAGAAACAAACAAACAAACAAACAAACAAACAAAAAAAAACUUCGGUUCUGUGUCCAUUUUCUGUAGCUGAAGAAACAAAAAAAGAAACUUGGGUUCUGUGAAGAUAAAUCAGCUCAGCACUGGGUGCUGUUAACAGGAAGGGAGUGGGAUCAAUUGGCCAGUCACAGAUGGAUGGGGAGAGGCAGGAGAAUGACCACCUGUGCCAACAGUGGAGAGGCUCUGGAAGGUCCCCAUGCCCCUCAAUGUUCCUAAAUGUUUCUUCUCCUGCAUACUAAUCUGAAAUAACUGAAACGCCACAAGUUAUUUUUUUUUCCUCUCUCUGGAAUCCUUGUGUCUUUCUUUCUUUCUUUUUGUGCUCCCUGUAACUACACACCCAGGUAGCUCCUUCUGAAAUGGUGCUGUGUCUGGGACUAGUUUGGAGAAAUCUGGAAAACUUGCUCAUGACUGUAUUUAAGUCACUUUGUCUCUCUGGGCCUCUUAAAAUUAGUCACUUAUUGAAUCUCUGCCAGAGCCAACCAGAUCCACAAUUCUAAAUGUAAAAGAUUGUUAUCCACAGAGUUGGCUUCUGGAGUGGGCAUCUUCAGCCAUCCUAGGGAACUGUGGGUGGGUAAAGGUUGCACGGGAUGCUGAAGACAAACUUGAGUCACUUCUCAGGCAGGCCCCAGCCUCACUGUGGGUGCCUUUAAGGCAGCAGUACCCAAUCUUUUUGGCAUCAGGGACUGGUUUUGUGGAAACCAAUUUUUUCUAUGGAUGGGAAAAUGGGACUGGUUUCAGGAUGAAACUGUUCCACCUCAGAUCAUCAGGUAUUAGAUUCUAAUAAGGAGCAUGCAGCCUAGAUCCCUUGCAUGCACAGUUCACAAUAGGGUUCUUUCUCCUAAGAGAAUCUAAUGCCACCGCUGAUGUGACAGGAGGCAGAGCUCAGGCGGUAAUGCUCUCUUGCCCGCUGCUCACCUCCUGCUGUGUGGCCCAGUUUCUGACAGGCCAUGGACUAGUACAGUGGGUUGGGGAUCCCUGCUUUACGGGAAAGGUACAAAGGGAGUUUCCCACAGUUUGAGAAACUGUCCUGUCAUUUUUAGACUCAAGUUGUUGAAAGCAAAGCCAUCAUCCUUGGGAUUGUCCUAUGAGUCUUGCCAAACUGUAGGACACAAGGAGAUGACAGAAGUGAUAAAGACAAUUUUUGUCUCUCCACUAAUUUUAGGCAUUGUGGGAAUUGGAGCCAGGAGUUCUGGUUUUGAGGCCCAGGCUUACCACUGAUUAGCUCAGUGGACCUGACAUCUCUGGGUGUUGCUUUCUUCCUCUGUUAAGUGGGGAAAAUCGUACUUGACUUGUAGUUGAGGGGAGAUCAUGUGCUAUGGACUGACUUAUGUCCUGCCACACCCCAAAUUCCUAUGUUAAAGCCCUAACCCCUAGUGUGCUGGUGUUUGGAGAUGGGAUAGAGUUAGGGAUAUAUCUUUUGGGAUAUAAUUAGGUUUAGAUGAAGUCAUGAAGUUGGGGCUCUCAUGAUGGGAUUAGUGCCCUCACCGGAAGAGACAUCAUAGAGCAUGCUCUUGCUUUCUUUCUGUCUAUCUCUUUGUCUGUGUGUGUGUGUGUGUGUGUGUGUGUGUGUGUGUGUGUGUGUGUUCAUGUGCAUGUGUUUUUUGUGAGGCUGGAAUGGGAAAGCUGCCAUCUGCAAGCCAGGAAAAGACCCCUCCCCAGGAAUAGAAUCUGCCAGCCCCUUAAUCUUGGACUUUCCCCUAGACUCCAGAACUAUGAGAAAUCAAUGUCUGUUGUUGAAGCCACCCAGUCUAUGGCAUUUGUUAUGGCACCCUUAGCAGAUCAAGACAUUGUGGUCCCUCCCUCACUCACUCACUCAUUGGUCUCUUAUCUUUUGAGCACUGUUUAUUGUGUUCUGAGCAUUGUUCUCAGAAGUGAGGAUACAAUGAACAAAAUAGACCAGGCUCUCACGUCCCUACAGUUCAGUGGGGGAAGAAAGACAGAAAACGAAAGAAAUGAGAUAAUUUUGGAUUGUGAUAAUAGCCUUGAAGAUACUGUAGGCAUAAUAGUAGGUGAAAAUAGUUCACAAUCAGUGAAUAUUUGUAGCACUCCCACCCAUAGCUGCUUCUGAUCACUGUCCGUGCUAUGUUGCCAGCUUUGGAAAUGUCUUCUUCACCUUUGUCCUGAAUCACAGGAACAGUAUAGGGCAUUGACACAGAGAUGGCACUUCUUGUUUUCUGGGACAACUCUAUCCUUUUGUAGCCCCAUCGCUGAAAUCCCUCCCCUACAUCUUGCCCCCUAUCAGGCAGCACAUCGCUCCAACACUCUUGGAGUUGGGAUGCAGAACCUGUAUUUUGGGUUCUUCUUAGAGGUGAUGGGCUGUUGUCAUAGCAACUGCUUCCUAGACUUAACCGUCAGCCUCAGUGGAGGUUUCUCCUCAGCUUUUCAGGCUGUAGGCAAUGCUUUCUCCUCAAAUGCCAGAGCUGAUCUAACUCCCCUGCCUCUAGCCUGCAAGCUGGAGAGACUCUUUACUUUCAAGGAAGUCUGGCUUUUACAGGUUCAAGCCUUUAUAAGAACACCAAAGCAAGAGCAAGUCCAAAAGGGGCCUCCCUGCCUGGAUGACAGAGGUGCUGGCUGGGGCUUAGGUAAGAAGCUCUCCUUUACCUCUUGCCCCUCACUGAUCUUUCCAGACCCCUGGGGAGGCUUAUGCAGGGGGCUCUGGCGGCAAUUUCCCUAUCCAUUUUGGGUUGUGUUAGUUUUCAGGUUUCUCUGCUGUUUGGAUCCUGAUGUUAGAUUCAAAGGCCAGAUUUAUAAGGUCAGGAGAAUCAAAGACGGCCAGUGACUCACACACUUUCAUGUUUCUCAGCCCUGGCCUGUUGGCAAGUUUCUGGACCCACUUGUAACCACUUUCCUGGAGCCAGUGCAGGUAAAGGAAAGGAGUUUAGCAAACAGGGAAGGGGUGGGCAGCCUGCCUGAACCUGAACCUGAGCCUGGGCCUGUGAUGUGGUCAGGCUAGUGUGCCCCACCAGCCCUGGGCAGACGCCGGGCCAGGGCACACACCACUUGGUGCCCACUGGCGCCUGGGAGAGCUCCUGGGUCCCCUGCAGGGUGGGACUGGCUGGGUCAUCUGCCCUCAGUGCUGCUAUGGGGGGUGCUCUGUGAGGUGGGAGCAGCCAGGGAGAGAAACGGCAGGGCGUGUUGGUGAGGCUCCUAUAAACGUGCACUUGGCUGUGUGCCUUCAAUGCUGGCAGGCAUGGGCUUCUGUUCUGGCUUCUCAGAGAUCUUUAGGAGAAGAGAGUUAUGUUCACUUCUGUAAUCCUCCUUCUCGAAUCUUCAGACUAUGGGUCAUGACCCAUAGUGGGGCAAAAACCAAUGUAGUGGAUUACACACAACAUGGAAAAACAAGGAGAAAGAAAAGAUAUUAAUGUUAAUUUUUUAGGCACAGUAAUGGCAAUGCAGCUGUGUAAGAGAAUGUCAUUAUUCUUGGGAGAUACACGAUGAACUAUUUUGGUGUUGAAUAUCAUGAAGUUUGUCAUCUACUUUCAAACAGUUCAACCAAAAAAUGUCUCUUUGUGUGUGCAUGUGUGUGUGUGUGCAUGUGUGUGUGUGUGUGUGCCUGUAUUGAGAGGAAGGUAGAGUAAUAUGGUACACUGUUUACUAUUGGUAGGCCUAGGUCAAUGGUUCUCAAUGGACUGUGGGUGAUUUUACCCCUCAGAAAACAAUGGCAUUUUUGGUUGUAAUAUCUGGGUGUGCGUAUGAGGUACUAAUGGCAUCUAGUGGGUAAAGGCCAGGCAUAGCCCUAAAUAUCCUGCAAUGCACAGAUGGCCCCCCCACAGCAGAGUUAUCCAGCCCAGAAUGUCAAUAGUGCUGAUGUUGAGAAACUCUGCUCUAGGGUAAAAAGUGUUUUUGUAUCAUUCUUUCAACAUUUCUGUAAGGUUGAAAAAUUUCAAAAGUAAAUAAAUAAAUGAAACACAUAGACUAGUAAAGAAGUCCCAGGCCAGGCGCCGUGGCUCACACCUGUAAUCCCAGCACUUUGGGAGGCCGAGGCGGGUGGAUCACUUGAAGUCAGGAGUUCGAGACCAGCCUGGCCAACAUAGUGAAACCCUGUCUCUACUAAAAAUACAAAAAUUAGCCAGGUGUUAUGGUGGGUGCCUGUAAUCCCAGGUACUCGGGAGGCUGAGGCAGGAGAAUCGCUUGAACCCUGGAGGCAGAGGUUGCAGCGAGCCAAGAUCACGCCACUGCACCCCAGCCUGGGCGACAGAGCGAGACUCCGUCUCGAAAAAAAAAGAAGUCUCGGGGUACGUCACGUGUUGCCACAGUAAAGAUAAUUAUUUGGUAGCACUUAUUUUGUUUCAGUCAUUUAUCUAUGGGUGUGUGAACUGGGCUGCAAUAUGUAAGUAUUUCUUAUGGGUAUUGUGCUCAAUAUGUUUGAAAAGCACUGCAUAAUCCAUAUCCUUCCGGCUGUGCUUGCUGUUGGAGAGAUAGAGAAGCUUGUCAAACUCUACUCACUUUCAAGUCAUCCAUAGUGAUAAUAUAAUUUUGUGUUUACGAUGUUCCAUGCACUGUGCUAAGCAGUUUACAUGCAUUAUUUGCAUUAUCUUAUUUAACCUUCACAGGAACACUUGUGAAGUGGGUAUUACUCCUAUCCUCAUUUUAUAGACACACUGAGGCUUAGGUUAAAUGGAUGGCCCAAGGGCACACAGCUAAUAAUGGAAGAACAGAGGCUUAGAUCUCUUAGACUACAAAAUCCAAGCUUUUAAAUAUUAUGCCAUCUGCCUCUAACCCUCUCAAAGCUUCCAAACUGAAUAUUGCUUGCUUUGGAAGUGAGAGGAGCUUCAGUCUCCUGAAGGUUGAAAUGUGUGGUUGAUCAAGUAGCCAUGCCCUCUCCCUCUUCCAUUCCUUCCUCUGGAGUCAGUGUAUGUGAGCGUGAGUGCUGUUUUGAUCUUCGAAGGACAACGGUGUUCAUCCUGAAGUGGUGAAAAUUUGACCACAAAAUAAUCUUUAGGGUUGAAUGGCAAAAAAGCAACAAGUGAUCAUGAAAAUAUUUGACUCAAAUUUCAACUUGACCGAGUCGUACCUACAUACAGAUUUCCCCAAAGCUCAGAGUGCUGCGUUUCAGGGUCAGAAAUGAGGGGCUCAUACCCCUCCUUCCACCUGGGCAAUUUUUAGAGUGUAAACAAAGCUUCAACAAGUUGACCAGGAUCCUUGACAGUGGCCCCAAUUCCAUGUGGUCAUUAUACAGAUGCCAGGAGGCCCCCCAAAGUAAGUGUGGGAUCUCAAGAGAUGACCAAGUCCAGUCUCAGAAGGGAGAGCACUGACUUCUGGUUAGGAUGCUCUUUUGGCUAAAGGCCACACCUGGUUCUAACCCGCAUUAGAAACUUUCACUUACCCUUAACUGUUAAGCUCUCACUUCCCACAUGGAAUUGGUCACUCAUCCUGGCAAUUCUAAUGGGCUGUGCUUUCUUUCUGCAUUGACUUUGGAAAGGUCUUCACGUUGACUUCCAUCUCCAUCACAUGUCACCUAGAGUCCAGGUCCUAGACCGUUCUCUAUUAAUUGUCCACACAGAAGCCCUGAGUCAGGCAUCAACAAACAUGAGAAAUGAAAAUCAUGAACGGCCACCUAGUAACAUGUGAAAUGCAAAACUCAAUACAAACAUUUCAUUGCCACAGAUGAACUAGGGAGACCUUAAACUUGAUCAUCCACUUUGCUGAUAGGGACUUUCUGGAGCGGUUUCCCCGGUAGGAUUUUCUUUGGAGAGAUGCUGGAAGUUCAGCUCAUGGUUGCUGCUUGUGAGGCUAACUGUUCAUGGCUUGUAAGCGGAGGCUACCUGCUCAGUUUGUGGACCUGGUCAGACAGGAGGAGCUGGCAACAUUCCUUCCUAUUGUUUAGCACGUUUUAUAAAUGAAGUUAAAUAAAGCCCCCCGGAGAAGAUUUAUUGCCCACAGAUCACUUCAAAUAGAGAGCUCUGAUCUUAGUUAACUUAUUUGUUAAAAAAGUUUUUAUCUUCAGAUGUUUGGGCAGGCAAGUGAUUUGGUCUCUGUGGUGAGUGUAGGGCCUUCCCACCUUAGCUCUUAGUUUGGUAGGUAGCUCACAGUAAGGGGUUGUACAGGCUGGACAGAGGGAACUGUGCUAUUUUAAUGCUGGAGUGAGAUGUCACAUCUCCACUUGGCUGUAAGAACAGUCCAUUGGUUGGCUGUGUGAACCCUCAGGAGAGGGAAUGAUGACUCUUCAUCUUCUGGAAGGAAAACCUGGGAACAGCCUGGUGAUAACCUGUUCUUUGUCACUCUUCUUUUUGCUGCCCAGUCCUCCAGGCUUUUAGGCUCUGGUGUGCAACCCCUGCUGUGGUCAUUUGAGAGGAGAUAAAAGGAAUCUUCUGAGAGCCAGAAGUUCUGUCUUCAGCACCAGCUGGGAGACCCUCUGUCAAGAUGAGGGUUCUAUUGAUCCAUGCAACUGCCGCCAACCAGAAUUUUAGGGUUUUGCCCCAAUAGGUAUGUAGUUGUGAUUCACUCCAGCCUCUGCUGUAGCUAUCUUGGGAGGUUAGUAAUGAUUUGCUUCUAUUUUAUUAGUUUUACAACUUCCCACUUUCACUCUUAAAUCACCUGUAGCUGCAAUACACAAGGGAUCUUCAUACAUAGACGGUUUCCACAGAACUAUUGAAACAAAGGUUGAGUCAUCACACGAUUUUGUUAGUGGAUGGGAGAAAGCCUUGUAGUGGUACUCUUUCCCCACUUCUUUUAUUGUGGUAAAAUAUAGGUAACAUAAAAUAUACCAUUUUAACUUUUUUUUUUUUUUUUUUUUUGAGACGGAGUCUCAUUCUGUCACCCAGGCUGGAGUGUAGUGGCGCGACCUCAGCUCACUGCAAGCUCCGCCUCCCGGGUUCACGCCAUUCUCCAGCCUCAGCCUGCUAAGUAGCUGGGACUACAGAUGCCCGCCACCACGCCUGGCUAAUUUUUUGUAUUUUUAGUAGAGAUGGGGUUUCACCGUGUUAGCCAGGAUGGUCUUGAUCUCCUGACCUGGUGAUCCACCCACCUUGGCCUCCCAAAGUGCUGGGAUUACAGGCGUGAGCCACCACGCCUGGCCCAUUUUAACCAUUUUUAAAGCAUAUACUUCAGGCCAGGUGCAGUGGCUCACGUGUGUAAUCCCAGGAUUUUGAGAGGCCGAAGCCUGCUGAUGGCUUGAGCCCAGGAGUUUGAGACCAGCCUGGGCAACAUGGUGAAACCCCAUCUCUACCAAAAACAAAACAAAACAAAACAAAACAAACAAAAAUUAGUCUGGCACGGUGUGUGCAUCUGUAGUCCCAGCUAUUUGGGAGCUGAGGUCAGAGGAUUGAUUGAGCCCGGGAGGUCAAGGCUGCAGUGAGCCAUGAUUGUGUCACUGCACUCCAGCCUGGGUGACAGAGUAAGACCCUGUCUCAAUAAAUAAAUAAAUAAAUAAAUAAAUAAAUAAAAUCUAUAGUUCAAUGAUAUUAAAUACAUUCACACUGUUGUGCAACCAUUACCACCAUUCAUAUCUACAACUUUUCUAAUCUUGUCAAACGUUUUUCCCACUUAAAAAAAAUUGAGUUAUUAUUUCACAUAUCAUAAAACACACCUUUUUUCCAGUGUACAAUUUGAUGGUUUUUAGGUUUAUUCACAAGAUUGUGCAGCCAUCACCACUAUCUACUUGCAGAACAUUUUCAUCUUUUAUCACUUUUGAACUCUGAUUUUCCACACAGUAUCAUCCUCUUUGCCAUCAGAUGCACUGGUGAUGCAACCUUUCUUAGAAGAGUGCUCCACUAUUGUCUCUGGAAUUUUCUCCCAAGCUCCUGACAGCCAUCUGCAAGGUUGGAUACUGACGCUUUCCUGACUGUGGCUAAUGGUGUUAGGCGAUGGCAACCAGGGCGUAUUUACCCCCCUACCCGGGCUGACAGUGAUUCUAUGAUACAUAUACUAAUUUAGUGAUGUUAAAAUGUGAAAACUGUGUGCCUUAGAACCGGUGAACUCAGUACUUAUCUUUCCAGCUCCAGCCCUGAAGUUGCUACAUCUCUCGUGACUCACUCCCUUACUCAGUUCUCUGGGGGGCAUCAAUUUUACCAUUCUGAGCUCCAAGGUACUUUGGCCAGAACCCUGUUCAUUAACCCACCCAUUGUAUCAGCCUCAUCUAUACUUGUUUACAUAUUGUCUCUCUCCCUAGACCAGGAACCCCUGCUCAGGAGACAUGCAAGGACAUGUUAUUCCUACUUGUCUCCACUGUGCCUAGUAUCAUGUAAGGAAUAAAGUAAGUACUUGAUAGCCAGGCGUGGUGGCUCACGCCUGUAAUCCCAGCACUUUGGGAGGCUGAGGAGGGCAGAUCAUGAAGUCAGGAGAUCAAGACCAUCCUGGCUAACAUGCUGAAACCCCUUCUCUACUAAAAAUACAAAAAAUUAGCCGGGCGUGGUUGCGGGCGCCUGUAGUCCCAGCUACUCGGGAGGCUGAGGCAGGAGAAUGGCGUGAAACUGGGAGGCAGAGCUUGCAGUGAGCGGAGAUUGUGCCACUGCACUCCAGCCUGGGCAAUAGAGCGAGACUCCGUCUCAAAAAAAAAAAAAAAAAAGUAAGUACUUGAUAAAUGUUUAUUGACUAAGCCAUGAUGAUAAGAGCCUACAAAUUAUAGCAGAAUGGGGUUGACAUGAGAAUACCUACCUGGGUGUUCAUCUCCUUUUGGUGCAGCUUACUGGCAAAAUUAAAGACAACUUCUAGCUAGGUAAUGAGUCAUUCAACUUAAAAUGUAACCGAAGAAAAAUAAUCUGAGAAGUUGGGAAAGCACAAUGUGGUAUGAAAACAUGGAAAAUAAAGAAUUGGGUUGUUUUUGUUUUGUUUUGUUUGAGAUGGAGUCUUGUUCUGUCAUUCAGGCUGGAGUGCGGUGGUGCAAUCUCAGCUCACUGCACCCUCCACUUCCCAGGUUCAAGCGAUUCUUCUGCCUCAGCCUCCUGAGUAGCUGAGAUUACAGAUGUGCACCACCGCAUCUGGCUAAUUUUUAUAUUUUUAGUAAAGACGGGGUUUCACCAUGUUGGCCAGGCUGGUCCCAAAUUCCUGACCUCAAGUGAUCCACCUGCCUCGGCCUCCCAAAGUGCUGGGAUUACAGGCAUGAGCCACCGCGCCCGGCCAGAAUUGGGUUGUUAAUGGCAGUGAAAAUAGAGGAUGUAGUUGUGCUUAGGCCUAGGAAAGAGACAGAAGAUUAGGAUUUCCUAGAUCACCAGCCAAAGCCUAGGGGCUCAUUGCCUGGCUGAGGUGCGAGUUCUGGGGGCUUGGCAGAUCUAGGGGUGAACUUGACUAGGACCAUCCAGAUCCCUAGGACUUGGUGCAUGUAGUAAGUAACCUAUGGAUUAUAUUUCAGGUUCCUCCACCAGGAGGAGGGUAUGUGGAAGACUUGCCUGUUGUAACUGGCCAUGCAGUUCUUAUGAUAAACUGGCUUUCUUAUUUUAUGUAGUAAUCUUGAUAUAGGGCUAACAAGGAUUCAGCUUGGUAUUACCUGAUGGCUUCUGUAUGAGUCCCUGCCAGUCAUUGCUCCACCCAGCUGUCAGCAAUAAUUACCUGCUGCAGGCUGGACGGGGGCCAGGCUGGAAUCCAGGAUCCCCUGGGAGGGCAGUGUGUUAGCUCUUUUCCCACUAAUGUGUGGAUCUGGAAAUUGUCUCCGUGCCUGUGCUGAGUGUCCUAAGGGUGUGGGAGCCUGUCCCUGUCAGGGACAGCCUCCCAUGUGCAGCCAGUCCGCUGGCCAGCCUUGUGCCUGGGUCUCUGCUUUCCUUUUCUUUUGGAACCUGUACCUGGCAUCUCUCUCAACUCCAAGGGCCUCCCUGAGCUCUGAGUCAUGCAUCCUUCUGAUCAAAGAAGCCUUUUUGAUUUGGACACUGCGUCCCUUUUCUUCUCCAGACUAGAACCCUAGGGUAUGGAUGCUAUGCUGCAUUUUACAGAGUUUUCUCUGCCCUUUGCGAUGUGGUCAUUUGAAAUGGGGACUCUUUCUUGAGUGGCGACAAGUCUUAUCCGUCCUGGUUAAUUUCCCCAGCUCUUGCCCCUGUUUUAGUCUAUUUCUUCUUUCCCAGUGCUUUGUGAUCAGGACAUUCUAGUUAGGCCAGAAGACUGAUAAAAGUGAGUUUCUAGAUCUGUAAAACUGAGAACCUAAACCUGGACCAAGAAGGACUGUACUAGUGGAGUUCUCUGAGAGGCCCAUCUUGAAAUAGGCUUCUUCUCUUAGCCAGCAUAACAAAGCUUCACAGGGAACAGUGGCCAUGUUAUCUAGGCUUUUGUGGGGGCAAGUGUCUUCUCCAAGUCCUCACUGCUCAGCUGUUACCUCUGCCUCAUACUGCUACAAGUUGCUACUUAAACCAGUAGCACUGGCAUCCCUGGGAGUUUGUCAAAGAUGCAGAGUCCUGGGCCCAACUUCAGACCUCCUGAAUUAAGAUCUGCAUUUUAAUAUGAAGUCCAAAUGAUUCACAUCCACCUAGAACUCUGAGGAAUACUUACCUAAAAUACUGGUGACUGCAGCACUAGCAUUUGCUGCUGUGGAGUUUAUUAUGUACCGGCGUUAAAGAGUCUCAUGUUGAUUGAGUACACACCAUGUGCCGGUGCCUUUUUCACUACCAAGCCACAGUGUCUGAGAAUAAGAUCCUUAGUUUGCAUAUAGCUCGUUCAUCCACUCAUUUAACUCUAAUUUCAUGAUCAAUGUGUGCUGGCACUAGAAAUGCAAAAGCGAAAAAGACAUGGGCCUUGAUCACAAUGAGCUCAUAAUUUCUGUGAGGCUGUGAUGGCAGCACAGUGCCUUGCACAGCAGGUACUGAGUGAGUGUUUCCAAGGUGGGGCAGAUCCCAGCAGGUUGGUGUGGGACCCUUAUCCAGCUAGCCUGGAUGUGGAGCAGUGGGUGGGGGUGGCACUUGCUAUGUGGAACCCAAGUUGAAGGUGGGGAACUCAAUGUAUAAAAGGGCAUCAUUAUUACUGAUGUUAAACAUGAAGAAGUACCACGUGGCCACUCAGAAGCAUGGACAUUUUGUUUGUUUGGGGUUUUUUUGGAGAUGGAGUCUUGCUCUGUUGUCCAGGCUGGAGUGCAGUGGCACGAUCUUGGCUCACUGCAACCUCUGCCUCCCGGGUUCAAGUGAUUCUCCUGCCUCAGCCUCCCUAGUAGCUGGGACUACAGGUGCACACCGCCACACCCAGCCUUUUUUUUUGUGUGUAUUUUAGUAGAGAUGGUGUUUCACCGUGUUGCCCAGGCUGGUCUUGAACUCCUGAGCUCAGGCAGUCUGCCUGCCUUGGCCUCCCAAAGUGUUAGGAUUACAGGCAUGAGCCACCAUGCCCGGCCAGCAUGGACAUUUUGAACUGAAACUGAUGUUAACAUGAAACAGAAAACAAACAAGCUGCAUUCUUCAGCCAGCAUGCUCAGUAAGUUGGCAUUUUUAUUUUUUCUUAAGUUGGCAUUUUUUUGUUUUAUUUGUUCACUUAAGUCCAGGGGUCUGAAAACUGGCCCAUGAGCCAAGUCCAGACCAUUGCUUUAUUUUAUUUUAUUUAUUUAAUUAAUUAAUUUAGAGAUAGGGUCUAUUGCCCAGGCUGGCGUGCAGUGGCGCCAUCACAGCUCACUGUAGCCUUGAACGCCCGAGCUCAAGCUACCCUCUUGCCUCACCCUCCAGAAUAGUUAGGAUCACAGGCAUGCACCUGGCUAAUUUUUAAAAUUUUUGUAGAGAAAGGGUUUCACUAUAUUGCCCAGGCUGGUCUUGAACUGCUGGGCUCAAGCAAUCCUCCCACCCUGGCCUCCCAAACUGCUGGGAUUAUAGGUGUGAGCCACUGCGCCCAGCUGUAUUGCUUGUUUUUGUAAAUAAAGUUUUAUUGGAAGAUAGCCAUGCUCAUUUGUUACAUAUCAUCUAUGGCUGCUUUCGUGAUGCAAUGGCAGAGUGGCGUAGUUGCAAAAGAGCUGGAAAUAUUAAUUAUCUGGACCUUUAUAGAAAAAGUUUGUGGCCAGGCUCGGUGGCUCACACCUGUAAUCCUAGCACUUUGGGAGGCCGAGACGGGUGGAUCACUUGAGGUCAGGAGUUCAAAACCAGCUUGGCCAUCAUGGUGAAACCUUUUCUCUACUAAAAAUACAAAAAAUUAGCUGGGCAUGGUGGUGUGCGCCUGUAAUUCCAGCUACACAGGAGGCUGAGGCAGGAGAAUCGCUUGAACCCAGGAGGUGGAGGUUGCAGUGAGCCGAGAUUGUGCCAAUGUACUCCACCCUGGGCUACAGAGUGAGACUCCAUCUCAAAAAAAAAAAAAAGAAAAAAAGAAAGAAAGAAAAAAAAAAGAAAAAGCUUGCUGAUUCCUGAUCUUAGUCUUCUACUAUCUAAA